Long non-coding RNA from Epinephelus moara (kelp grouper), 190 nucleotides. RefSeq lists it as uncharacterized. NCBI's taxonomy places the organism in Eukaryota, Metazoa, Chordata, Actinopteri, Perciformes, Serranidae. The transcript has 3 exons. The record is from RefSeq and is a predicted model, not a curated record.
UCUUAAGACAGAGACCUUUCUCAUUCAAUCAUCAUUGGCCGCUUUGAUGUGUGACCCCUGCUCCUCAUGCUGGAAGAGGAGAAAUUAACAGCUAGGACAGGAUGGCGACUCAGAAUCAAAGUGUGUCUCAGCCUUGCUCCCCUGCAAAGCACAACUGUGUGUGCCGGAGAGAAGCACUGUUUACCUCCAU